RNAcentral lists this long non-coding RNA (423 nucleotides) under Hordeum vulgare. RNAcentral describes it as "long non-coding RNA (HVUL_LNC002315)". The record is from RNAcentral. Lineage: Eukaryota; Viridiplantae; Streptophyta; Magnoliopsida; Poales; Poaceae.
AGGGAGUCCCGUUCCCGGUGCUGGGGGUGCUCAACGAAGCUCCGGCGGCCACAGCUUGCGCACCAACACAUGGGCUGCUGACAAACAGGAAACCAACAAGAGGAGUUUGAGAGCAGAGGAAAGAAAAGGAGGAAGGAGGAGAGAACAGCAUGGCGGGGCACUAGCCUGGAUGCGUUGAUGUUGCUGCACGCCGGCGCCACGCUAGACGCACGAGAUGAGCCUGGGACGAACUGGAUCUCCGGUGGCUGAGAAGGAGGUGGCUUGGGGCAUGGAGCUCGGGCACGGGAGGACCUCCAACUGCUGCUCCCGAUCCCCGUGGAUUGAAGCAUGGGAGGAGGCUUGGAGACGAGGUCGAGCGCGGGAGGCCGACGCUUUGAUGGAUGGAUGGAUUUGGGUGGCUGGCUUCGUCUGGCUGCAGUGGAU